CCCCCACCUCCUCCACCUUUUAAGUGAUAGCCUCUGAUUUCCUUGAUUUCGCAUCUCUUUUUCGUAACGUUAUUCUAACGCUGCCACAUGGAUGUCUAUCGUUUUCCUUACUUUUUCCUUUGCCGCAUAAAUAUGGGUUUGCCGGUUUCUAGUUCUUCCGAUUGUUAAAGGGGUUGUUUGGAAAGCUUCAUGUUUUUUUUUUUGCUCCAAAAUAAUAGAACACGCUCUUCGAUGUUAUUCUCCAACAAUGAUAUGUGCAUAUGUAUGCGUCUGUUGGAGUCACUGAGAUGGCAGGCAAUUGAAACUAGGAAACUCAACUAUAUGUGUGGAAAGUUAACCUUGCACAGGGUGCUACGAAGAGGCUGAGGUAGCAUCCCAGGUAUCUCUCUCAGCGUGCUCAAUGUCCUCAAUUUCUUCCUCCUCAUUUUAGCCUACAAUCUAUAGAAAUUUAUCUCUUCCAGCAGGAAUGUCAGGUGAUAAUCCGG
This 485-nucleotide small RNA is filed under the name Histoplasma ohiense. RNAcentral's name for it is "hypothetical lncRNA". The record is from RNAcentral. Lineage: Eukaryota; Fungi; Ascomycota; Eurotiomycetes; Onygenales; Ajellomycetaceae.